RNAcentral lists this non-coding RNA (25 nucleotides) under Rattus norvegicus (Norway rat). The record is from RNAcentral. Lineage: Eukaryota; Metazoa; Chordata; Mammalia; Rodentia; Muridae.
UGAAAGAGCGGUCGUUACAUAAGGC